Molecule: ribosomal RNA, 266 nt
Filed under: uncultured archaeon
Lineage: Archaea
Description: partial 16S ribosomal RNA
Rfam family: Archaeal small subunit ribosomal RNA
Source: RNAcentral
ACACGACUACAUUAGACUACCCGGUAGUCCUAGGCGUAAAUGAUGCGAGUUAAGUGUGGGGGCAUCUACGAGAUGGCCCUGUGCUGUAGGGUAGCCGUUAAACUCGCUGCCGUGGGAAGUACGGUCGCAAGGCUAGAAACUUAAAGGAAUUGGCGGGGAGCACCACAACGGGUGGAGCCUGCGGUUUAAUUGGACUCAACGCCGGAAAUCUCACCGGAUAGGACAGACAUAUGAUAGUCGGGCUGAAGACUCUACUUGAUGAUCUG